ACGAACGCUGGCGGCGUGCUUAACCCAUGCAAGUCGCACGGAAAGGCCCUGCUUUUGUGGGGUGCUCGAGUGGCGAACGGGUGAGUAACACGUGAGUAACCUGCCCUUGACUUUGGGAUAACUUCAGGAAACUGGGGCUAAUACCGGAUAGGAGCUCCUGCUGCCUGGUGGGGGUUGGAAAGUUUCGGCGGUUGGGGAUGGACUCGCGGCUUAUCAGCUUGUUGGUGGGGUAGUGGCUUACCAAGGCUUUGACGGGUAGCCGGCCUGAGAGGGUGACCGGCCACAUUGGGACUGAGAUACGGCCCAGACUCCUACGGGAGGCAGCAGUGGGGAAUAUUGCACAAUGGGCGGAAGCCUGAUGCAGCAACGCCGCGUGCGGGAUGACGGCCUUCGGGUUGUAAACCGCUUUCGCCUGUGACGAAGCGUGAGUGACGGUAAUGGGUAAAGAAGCACCGGCUAACUACGUG
This 467-nucleotide ribosomal RNA is filed under the name uncultured bacterium. RNAcentral's name for it is "partial 16S ribosomal RNA". It matches the Rfam family "Bacterial small subunit ribosomal RNA", at positions 29 to 507 of the family's 1533-position model. The record is from RNAcentral.